RNAcentral lists this ribosomal RNA (328 nucleotides) under uncultured bacterium. RNAcentral's name for it is "bacterial SSU rRNA". It matches the Rfam family "Bacterial small subunit ribosomal RNA", at positions 568 to 898 of the family's 1533-position model. The record is from RNAcentral.
CGUGUAGGCGGUGCGGUAAGUUGGGCGUGAAAUCCCCGAGCUUAACUCGGGUGGGCCGUUCAAGACUGCCGUGCUAGGGUGCGGGAGAGGGAAGUGGAAUUUCCGGUGUAGCGGUGAAAUGCGUAGAUAUCGGGAGGAACACCUGCGGCGAAGGCGGCUUCCUGGACCGUAACCGACGCUGAGGCGCGAAAGCUAGGGGAGCAAACAGGAUUAGAUACCCUGGUAGUCCUAGCCCUAAACGAUGAGCACUGGGUGUGGCCCCUCACGGGGCCGUGUCGAAGCUAACGCAUUAAGUGCUCCGCCUGGGGAGUACGGUCGCAAGGCUGAA